GGACAAUCUUCAUCAUGACCUGCUCCCCUCUCCUCCUCACCCUUCUCAUUCACUGCACAGGGUCCUGGGCCCAGUCUGUGUUGACGCAGCCGCCCUCAGUGUCUGCGGCCCCAGGACAGAAGGUCACCAUCUCCUGCUCUGGAAGCAGCUCCAACAUUGGGAAUAAUUAUGUAUCCUGGUACCAGCAGCUCCCAGGAACAGCCCCCAAACUCCUCAUUUAUGACAAUAAUAAGCGACCCUCAGGGAUUCCUGACCGAUUCUCUGGCUCCAAGUCUGGCACGUCAGCCACCCUGGGCAUCACCGGACUCCAGACUGGGGACGAGGCCGAUUAUUACUGCGGAACAUGGGAUAGCAGCCUGAGUGCUGGACUCUGACCCCCUGCCCCUCAUCCACCCCGCAGGUCAGCCCAAGGCUGCCCCCUCGGUCACUCUGUUCCCGCCCUCCUCUGAGGAGCUUCAAGCCAACAAGGCCACACUGGUGUGUCUCAUAAGUGACUUCUACCCGGGAGCCGUGACAGUGGCCUGGAAGGCAGAUAGCAGCCCCGUCAAGGCGGGAGUGGAGACCACCACACCCUCCAAACAAAGCAACAACAACAACAACAAGUACGCGGCCAGCAGCUACCUGAGCCUGACGCCUGAGCAGUGGAAGUCCCACAAAAGCUACAGCUGCCAGGUCACGCAUGAAGGGAGCACCGUGGAGAAGACAGUGGCCCCUACAGAAUGUUCAUAGGUUCUCAUCCCUCACCCCCCACCACGGGAGACUAGAGCUGCAGGAUCCCAGGGGAGGGGUCUCUCCUCCCACCCCAAGGCAUCAAGCCCUUCUCCCUGCACUCAAUAAACCCUCAAUAAAUAUUCUCAUUGUCAAUCAG
This 868-nucleotide long non-coding RNA is filed under the name Homo sapiens (human). RNAcentral's name for it is "long non-coding RNA NONHSAT192066.1". The record is from RNAcentral. Lineage: Eukaryota; Metazoa; Chordata; Mammalia; Primates; Hominidae.